CUGGCCAUGGGGCAGCACGUAUCUGACGGUCGCUGGCUGCAAUCACCACACCCAACCGUGCUCGCUCGGUCUUGUCGCAUCUGCAUCGAGGGAGAGGACGACUAUGCACAUGUAUCUCAAGACCCUCACCAAGAUGGCUCUGUGGCUGCCGACACAAUCUCUGACACAACUUACCACAGCCCCUGAUAUUUUCUUCUUUAUGGAGCAUUGUGAAAGUAGAGACUUUGAGCAAGUCUAACCAAUCACCCGCCUUUCCGAAACCGGAAGCAGCAAGCACCAAUCACAGGCGAUAACACGAACGGCCUUGUUUACUUCCAUCAACUGGCCAUGGCGGCACACAUGUUUCUUGUGCCCGGCAUCACCAACUUGCUGGUUCUGUCUGGUCAAAUCUCCAUCGCUGGUCAGGGACAGCUGCCUGCUGACCCAAUGUCACACAACCACGGCCCUCUCCCCCCUGGCUCCCACUCCCAAGGAAACAGUUCUUUGUCUCAUCUUUUUGUAUCUUUAAAAUCUCUUCUUUUUUCUAAACACGUAACCUUAAAAAUAAUAACGUUGUCGGCUCUUGUCAUUCGUGUUACUAGUAGAUUGUAUCCAUGGUUACAGUACUGUACUUUUUCUAGCAUCCUGAAUGAGGAGAAGAUCACAUAUUAACGUCUUAUUUAUAAAUUUCCAUUAAGUUCAAUUUGUAGUUUAUUUCUAUGAUAUCUGGGCAUUAAUUUUUGCAUCGUAAUUAUGGUUUAUCAUUCUUCCUUUGGCUGUCAAUUAGUUGUGUUCCUUGUGUUGGACAUUGUUGCAGACCCAGACUAACAUGGCUGUGCGGCCACCAACAUGACCUCUCCACAUGCCCUCCGGACACAGCCUCCUGACACAGCCUCCGCACACAGCCUCCCGACACAUCCUUCUGACACAUCCUUCUGACACAUCCUUCUGUCACAACCUCCUCACAGCCACUUGAUAUUUACUUCUAGAUGGAAGAUUUUGUAAGGUAGGUGAUUUCUUUACCAUGGUAGCCACUGUGAUCGCCU
Haliotis rufescens (red abalone) is the source of this 1025-nucleotide long non-coding RNA. RefSeq lists it as uncharacterized. NCBI's taxonomy places the organism in Eukaryota, Metazoa, Mollusca, Gastropoda, Lepetellida, Haliotidae. The transcript is spliced from 4 exons. The record is from RefSeq and is a predicted model, not a curated record.